UUCAACUCAACAAACUUUUUUUUUUAUCUUUAAAUGUUGUUUAAACAUAUUUGAUCGGUUUUGUUCCUUGCAAGUUAUGUCAGUCAAAGGAAAAUACUGAGGCCGUGUGUUUAAAGCUACUGCAAACUACAAUGUUGAUGUUAGCAUAUUCAAUUCUUUGGAUGAGCCCCUGCUGUUCACUUGGUGCUCAUCUUUAAGGAUGUUUUAGCUUCUUUAGUUCUCUGUUUUAUUACUACAGGUUUCUAGGCUUCUUUUGAUUACUUACAUUGUGUCUUUUUGGUUCAGUCACAAUCCAUAGACCAGGUCGUAUUUAUAUCCCUGAUGCCAAUACCUGAAAGGCUGUUAAGUCAUCAUUCUACUAAACCCAGUAAAACCAAUCUAGAUAUUUUUUUCUUUUUUUCAUCUUAAUUCAGUUCUUCUUCAUGAUUUUAACACCAACUUAAAUUACUCACUGUUAGUAUCAUCUAAAGAUCUCAACAUCAGAGGUAGAGAGCUUACACAAGAACAGUAUAUAUGAUGAAGUAAAAGAUGCUGUAAGGAUUGAUUUAGAAGGCAGAGUUGAUAUACGAUAGUUGUCUCAAGAGAGGAGUUACUUAAGGUGAGUGUGAGUGGGUGAUCACAUUUUGAAAAUGGUCUUUCGUUUUUUUAUUCUAACAGUGAAACUUUUGUAAAUACAUAUCGGAGGAGAUUGAUAUAAAGCUCGACUUGGUCCCUCCAUAUCAAAUAAAUUUUAUGUCUAGGCAGCUCCUUAGCAACAACGGUUUUCAACUUUUCAAGCAGACUAGGUUCGGUGGAUAAAACAAAAGGCCUUUGAGUGGCGAGAGUGACGUAGACGCGCCUAUCUCAAACUCUCUCAAACAAGUAGAUCUCGCAUGGGAGGAGCUCCGACUUCCGGCGUUUUGUCAGAUCUUGGCGUUCGGGGCCGCGGGAUGCCUCCGAGGUUGGCUCUGGUGGGUCGUCGGUUAGCCGUGGAGGGAUCUAUGGUGGGUUUCGAACACGCCGGCCAGAGUGAACUUCUGGUGACAUCGGGAUUUUCUAUUCCAAUCGUGUUCGUCGGAGUUGGGGCUUUGUGCUCCUUGCAUCUUCUCACCCUCGCUUUAGUUCUAUUCUCUUAGAUUUAGAUCUCGAUCUGGAUUGAGCUGUGCUUUGUUUGCUUGAUUUUGUCUUAGCCAUUGUUGUUAGGUACCGUCGUUUCUCCGACGUCGAGAUGUACUCUCCGACCCCCUUUUGGGAUGUUUUUUUAAUAUAUUGAAAAAAAAAAAAAAGGUUCGGUGGAUAAUCUGAUAAUUACAAUAGAAUUUUAGAUGAUAACGGUAUUCUCUGAUAUAUCAAGUUCUGUAUACUACUGAUAAAAAUAAUGAAAUCUGCUAAGAAAAUGGUUUAAUAUAGACAAGAAGGAAGAGAUUGUGAAAAUAAAGAAUGGAAGUUGGAUUUGCAUAAUAUUGAAUAAAAUCUAUAGUCUUAUAAAUUAACUUAUAUAAGUAAGAUAAAUGAAUAUUUUGAUUAUGGGUCUGGUAAGAUGGGUUGUAAGUGCAUAAAUUUUGUUGUAAGAAGUUUGUAGAUUUUAGGUUGUAGUGAUGUAAUUGUAAGUUUUUAAUGUUGAAAAAUAUUACAAUUUUAAACCGGUGUUUUAAGAAAAAAUAUAUUUUAAAAGGAUUGUAGUUGUAAAGAGGAGGGAGGGUCAACUAAAUUACCAAGAGAACAAUUAAAAACAAAAUUUAUAAAAAAAUGUAAGUGAAAUAAAAAAAUUCUAUAACCCAACCAAUCAAACACAUAGCUAAAAUUUAAUCAUUUUUUUUUUCAUUUUGCUUAUCACCUUAAAUAUAAUUUCCAAUAACAAAAAAAAUCUAAUAUCAGAGAUUUGAAUAUUAAAACUUUUGAAAUUUGUAAGACAGAAAAAAUAAAAAAUUGAAAAUAAUUUUAUAAUUUUCCAGCUACUUAUAUUUUUAUAAUAGAUUAUGAUACUUAUAUACCAAAAUAAAUAUACAAUUUAAACAAAAAACUCGGGCGUAGGCCGGACCGAUACUUGUAUUUUAUAAACUAACACGUUAACCUAUGGAAAUUCAUCGUAGUGGGAGACUUUGUAGCCAAGACUAUUAAUUAAGCCUAAGGAACUAAUGGAAACUAAAUAAUAUAUAGAGCUUAUAUGUGAGGGUAGACAUGUGAAAAUGGGUAUAAUUUAGUGGAUUAACCCAAACUAAACCAACCCAUGGACUUUAAAGAGUCAAGAAUUUGGAUAAUUGGGUUUAAUGGAUAGUGGGUUUAAUAAGUUUGGUUUAGAAUGGGUUGGACUAAUAUGAGUUAAUGAAUAACCCAAACCAAACCAAUUUCUUCUUUAAUUCCAUUAAAAAAAUUUAGAAGCAGUGACGAUUCUCUCGAAAGCUCCGACGAUCGCCUUCGGCGACCCUUUAUGCUUCGGCGGCGAUCCUCUCGAUCACCCUCUUCGGCCGCGACCCUCUCUAUUUCAUCCUCUUCGGCCGCAACCCUCUCGAUCUCUUCGAUUGAUCUCGAUCUCUUCAAUUGAUCUCUACCGUUUCUCAUCUCGUCGCCUGCCGUAUCUCGUCAUCUAAGAGGCUCGAUCUCAUCUCCAUCUACCGUAUCUCAUCUCGUCACCUGACGUAUCUCGUCACCUAAGAGGCUCGAUCUCAUCUCCAUCUUCUCGAUCGUUAUAUUCGUUGCCAGGAACUCGGGUUUCGAAAAUCAGGAAGCUGAAGAUCAGCCAGCACAGACCAAGUGGGUCCAGGGUUAAGUUUGACGAGGAAGGCAAUCCAGUGGCUCCCUUAGCAAUAGUAGCUGCCACAACUGAGACUGAAGUAGCCCUUGAUGAAGAGGCAAGGAAGGAUUACUAUAAGAAACUGGGAGAGCAACUGAGGAAAGUGGAUCAUGAGGACAAGAAAGUGGAGAGGGAAAAGAGGAGGGAGAAGAGAAUGAAAGAAAAGAUUAAGAGGAAGCAAGGAGAGAUGGAGGAGGAGGAAGAAGAAGAAGAAGGCCAUGAAGGCUCUGCAUCAUCAUCAGAAGAAACAGGACGAAAACGCAAAAGAGCAAAGAAGAUGUACUUUGAUGAUAAUGGUGAUGGAGAUGAAGAAAAGGAAGGAGGAAAAAUCAAUACAGAUGCCAUCUCCACAGCUGAGCUUGAGGAGAUGGCUCUCAAACUGAUAACGCAGUCAUGAAAAUCUCACAUAGGAAACGUUUUGUCUGUCUAGGCUCCCUCUUUCCGCAUUCGCCGUUUUGCCGAUUCUCCCAAGGAAGCACUUCAUUUUUAUGAACCAAUGUGAUAGUUUCCUACAA
Brassica napus (rape) is the source of this 3288-nucleotide long non-coding RNA. RefSeq lists it as uncharacterized. The record is from RefSeq and is a predicted model, not a curated record. NCBI's taxonomy places the organism in Eukaryota, Viridiplantae, Streptophyta, Magnoliopsida, Brassicales, Brassicaceae. The transcript has 4 exons.